UAGGGAAUCUUCGGCAAUGGGGGCAACCCUGACCGAGCAACGCCGCGUGAGUGAAGAAGGUUUUCGGAUCGUAAAGCUCUGUUGUAAGAGAAGAACGUGUGUGAGCGUGGAAAGUUCACACAGUGACGGUAACUUACCAGAAAGGGACGGCUAACUACGUGCCAGCAGCAGCGGUAAUACGUAGGUCCCGAGCGUUGUCCGGAUUUCUUGGUCGUAAAGCGAGCGCGUGCGGUUUAAUAAGUCUGAAGUUAAAGGCAGUGGCUUAACCAUUGGUCGCUUUGGAAACUGUUAAACUUGAGUGCAGAAGGGGAGAGUGGAAUUCCAUGUGUAGCGGUGAAAUGCGUAGAUAUAUGGAGGAACACCGGUGGCGAAAGCGGCUCUCUGGUCUGUAACUGACGCUGAGGCUCGAAAGCGUGGGGAGCAAACAGG
RNAcentral lists this ribosomal RNA (429 nucleotides) under bacterium. Its description in RNAcentral is "partial 16S ribosomal RNA". It matches the Rfam family "Bacterial small subunit ribosomal RNA", at positions 355 to 776 of the family's 1533-position model. The record is from RNAcentral.